This 586-nucleotide ribosomal RNA is filed under the name uncultured bacterium. RNAcentral describes it as "partial 16S ribosomal RNA". It matches the Rfam family "Bacterial small subunit ribosomal RNA", at positions 355 to 938 of the family's 1533-position model. The record is from RNAcentral.
UGGGGAAUUUUGGACAAUGGGGGAAACCCUGAUCCAGCCAUCCCGCGUGUGCGAUGAAGGCCUUCGGGUUGUAAAGCACUUUUGGCAGGAAAGAAACGUCGCGGGUUAAUACCCCGCGAAACUGACGGUACCUGCAGAAUAAGCACCGGCUAACUACGUGCCAGCAGCCGCGGUAAUACGUAGGGUGCAAGCGUUAAUCGGAAUUACUGGGCGUAAAGCGUGCGCAGGCGGUUCGGAAAGAAAGAUGUGAAAUCCCAGAGCUUAACUUUGGAACUGCAUUUUUAACUACCGGGCUAGAGUGUGUCAGAGGGAGGUGGAAUUCCGCGUGUAGCAGUGAAAUGCGUAGAUAUGCGGAGGAACACCGAUGGCGAAGGCAGCCUCCUGGGAUAACACUGACGCUCAUGCACGAAAGCGUGGGGAGCAAACAGGAUUAGAUACCCUGGUAGUCCACGCCCUAAACGAUGUCAACUAGCUGUUGGGGCCUUCGGGCCUUGGUAGCGCAGCUAACGCGUGAAGUUGACCGCCUGGGGAGUACGGUCGCAAGAUUAAAACUUAAAUGAAUUGACGGGGGUCAUAGCUGUUUCCC